CUGGUAGUCCAUGCCGUAAACGGUGGAUGCUGGAUGUGGGACCCUUCCACGGGUUCCGUGUCGGAGCUAACGCGUUAAGCAUCCCGCCUGGGGAGUACGGCCGCAAGGCUAAAACUCAAAGAAAUUGACGGGGGCCCGCACAAGCGGCGGAGCAUGCGGAUUAAUUCGAUGCAACGCGAAGAACCUUACCUGGGCUUGACAUGUUCCGGACGGUCGCGGAGACGCGGCUUCCCUUCGGGGCCGGUUCACAGGUGGUGCAUGGUCGUCGUCAGCUCGUGUCGUGAGAUGUUGGGUUAAGUCCCGCAACGAGCGCAACCCUCGCCUUGUGUUGCCAGCGCGUCAUGGCGGGAACUCACAAGGGACCGCCGGGGUUAACUCGGAGGAAGGUGGGGAUGACGUCAAGUCAUCAUGCCCCUUAUGACCUGGGCUACACACGUGCUACAAUGGGCAGUACAACGAGAAGCGAACCCGCGAGGGUAAGCGGAUCUCUUAAAGCUGCUCUCAGUUCGGACUGCAGGCUGCAACUCGCCUGCACGAAGCUGGAAUCGCU
This 550-nucleotide ribosomal RNA is filed under the name uncultured bacterium. RNAcentral describes it as "bacterial SSU rRNA". It matches the Rfam family "Bacterial small subunit ribosomal RNA", at positions 787 to 1336 of the family's 1533-position model. The record is from RNAcentral.